Molecule: long non-coding RNA, 1268 nt
Organism: Neofelis nebulosa (Clouded leopard)
Lineage: Eukaryota; Metazoa; Chordata; Mammalia; Carnivora; Felidae
Exons: 2
Source: RefSeq, a predicted model, not a curated record
AAUCACCACUGCUGUGGCCGGAAGGGAGAACAGGAGAGCAGUUUUGAAUGCCCUGAGUUUGAGGUGCCUUCAAGACACCAUAUGGGCACCCGGGACAGACCCCGGGAGAGGCCCUGGGAGCCCUCAGCCUGUGAGUGGGUGGAUCCUAUUCUGAGCUGGCAGAGCUGGCAGAGAAGCUCCCAGACAAGGGCGAGGCCUGGGAGAAGAGGCGGAGCCGGCAGGGAAGCAGUGAGUUGCGAGGGACCCCGGCAGCCAGGGUGGCGGUUGACCUGACCGUGGAGCUCACACUUCCCUUACUAGAACUUUCGAGCCUCCCUUAUUCAACCCAGCAAGUCCCCUCUCCCUCCUCUUAUCACCUGAGGCAUUUUUGUUCCUUCUCUGGAACCAGCUCCCUUCUGCAUCAGGGUGCGAGGUCUCCUCUGCGCGACCACCCUGUGGAAGCUGGCAGAGGUGAAGCAGAGCUCUGCCAAGCCAAGGUGUGGCUGCGGCGUGGUUCCUUCUGACCUUUACGCCUCGGAGACGUUCUAAUAGUUUUCCAUAGUUUUGUUCUCAAGGACAAAUUGAAUACUGGAAGUUGGGCUCCUUUGAGAGCAGGUAGCUUCCCCCACGUCUGAUGAAAUGGCCACUCUAUAUGCAGACACAGGUAGAUGCUCAUAUUGUUUUCAGUUGUUGAUUUGUCGUAAGUGGUGUCUGCAUUAGUACGUUACUGGUCCGAGGAGAGACGGGUGUUCACCCGCAGAAUUCACCUGAGCGGUUCAUAUUGAAAAGCCGCUAUCACUGAUUGACAUCGGUUUGAUUUUAAUGGCAACAUAGGUAGUGUUACCUUUACUGCAGUUGGAACAUGAAUUCAAGUCGAUUAUUAAGGGGCCCAUGCCCUUCCUUUAGAGAGUACUUUUUUUAUAAUAUGAUGUUUUUAUUCUGCAUACAGUGAAUUUUGAAAAGGAAUAUUCUAGAGUACUUCAUAAUCACUUCAGACGCAAUGACAAGGCCACAUUUUUUCCUCAUCCGCUCCUCUGGAGUCCUUCAGAGGUGAGGGUGGGUGGAUAACAACUGCUGGCAUCUAGAGGUUGGAGGCUGAGCUGCAGUGCUCAGGGGAAGCCCCUGCCCGGAGUCAUCCUGCCUGAUGUGAGUGGGUGCCAUUGAGAAACCCUGCCAUGGGGUCAUGUCCUAGCUGGGCCAUGGCCAAGGUGCAAGAACGGAUGCUUCUAGUGCUGCUGAUGGGUGUGGUCCAUCCAAGACAGUGAAUGAAUAAAAGUGCGUUCGUCUGU